AUCAAUUUUAAUAUAGCAUAACACUACAAUAUAUAAAUCUUUUCUUGUCAAUGAUAAAAAAAAAAAAAAAAAGUAAAGAUAGAUCCCUCGUAGCAUGAAAUAAAAGCCUAAACAGCCUACGGAACUAAAUAAACUGGGUAAAAAAGUAGCCCAAAACAAAAAAAGUGAUUUAAAAAGAAAUUAAAAUAAAAGAAAACAAACAUGUUGCCCUCUAAAGCUAACAAAAUUACAAACAUCAGUAUUAACUGAGAGAAAUUAAGCUUCAAUAUGUAUAGCGAGAUUCACAUGAAGAGAUUAAACUGUAUGGGUGGUAAUAAAAGGAAAUGAAAAAUCCUCUGCACCGUAUGAAACUCUGUUAUACACGCUUCUUAAAUUCUUUAAUAGAAUUCUCGACAGCAAUGAAUAGAAACUAGAAAAGAGAAUAUUUUCUUUAAUUAUAACUAUUAAAAAGAAAUAGGAAAUUAAAUUCUAUGUGUAUGCAUGUAUAAACUUUCCUUGUCAUCCUGCCCUUUGAGCAACCCAUUUUCCAGAGAGAAUGUGGAGGCAUAAUCCAAACUUUGAAAUUAAACUCUCAUCUAAUCGGUCAAUGUGGAUGGAACAUCUUAUGCUUCACACACUCAAAUUGGACAUUAAGUAGUACAAGCUCAACUCAAAGUAGUCAUAACGAAUAUUCACCAAUUGAUAAAUCUAAAUGACCUAGUUAAUUAAUUGGAAAUUUUGGAUAGGAGGAUGCGAGUAAUUUUCGGUAAAUGAAAAGAUAGUUAAAGGGGGAAGGGCAAUAUUAGGAAUUUUGAUAUAUAAGAUGGGUAGAGGGAAAAGGGAAAGAAAGGAAUGCAUUUAAGGAAACUGGGGUGGGAAAAUCAAAUGAAGAAAUAGAAGGGAAAAUACCCGCAGUUAAGGCAGAGAUUUGCGAAUCCGGCGGAUCCCAGAGGCCAUCCUUUGGUCCAGUGUAGGGAGGUGGGGGCUGGGCAAGACGUGUUCAUGCAGCGGUUGGAGGCCAUAGAAGUGGAGAUCAAGCAAAAGAAAACCCUAAAAUAAAAGAGGUUUAGAGAAGAGAGUGAGAGAGGGGGAGGAAUGGGGAGAGAGAAAUGAGGCCAUGGAAGGAGAUCAGGGGAGAAGGCUUUUUAGCAGUUAGCAGUGCAAUGGAGAGAGAAGAGAGUGCAUGCAAAGCAACAGAUGCAUAAAAUGCAUGCACGACACUUGAACACACGCCGCUCCUCUCCUUCACCGUAACAACCUCUCUUAACAGUCUUUUUUCUUUUUCUUUUUCUUUUUCUUUGUUUUUCUUUUUUCUUCUUCUUCUCUUUUCUUUUCUUUUCCUUUCUUCUCUUUUUCUCUUUUGAUCUGUUUUGUUUUUGCUAAUGUUUUUCAUACACUCUUACCCUCAGCCCUCCCACACACACGCACCCACACGCACCGUCUCACCAAACUUCCCCUAUUACUUCUUUUAAGUUGCCGACACGUACAUCCACGGCAGUUAUUUUUAAAUCAACUGUCUACGGUAACACAUCAACAACUAUUUUGGGUGUGACACCAUCCCAAUCUCUCUAAGUUUCCUUUUUUUAAAAUAAAUAAAUAAACGUCCAAGGCUAUGGCUGGAACAGUUGUCCACCCAUACCUCACCACCCCACCCCCCACGCCCACUGUAUUUCUACCAUUUCUCUCUCUAUUUUAAUUAUUAUAUACAAUUUUUCUUUUAAGUAAGAUGAGGCCAAUUAUGAACAUUUGGAAUAAUGGUCACUAAAAUAAUAAUUAAAUUGCAUCUAAACUCUUUCUUCUUUUUUAAUUACCCUCAUAUUCAUUUUAUUCAACGCUGGAAAAGGGAGCUAUCAUACAGACUAUAAUUCCGUGAUAUUGUAUUAUUGUUGACUUUAUCGAAAGUUAUGCCUUAUGUAUUUAAUGCCACAUCAACGCUAUUUUCCCCUGACGAGAUGAAAUUAGUUUUCAGUCUUUUGAUUUUUAGUUCUUACUUUCUAGAAAACCAAAAAAGUUUAAAGUUUUUCCACCAAUAAAAUAAAACAAUAGUUUUUCAAAACUUUUUUUAAAAGAUAAUUUAUUAUAAAUAUUAAAACUGUUUAAAAUAACUUACAAAAUAUAACAAUUUUUUUUAUAGUAUUUAAAAUUUAUUAAUAUCUUCCUUCAUGUUACUCUAUUUAAAAAUGCUCUUUUUAAUGUGUGUUGUUCUUUUUAUUAAAAGAAUGGUUGUAGUAAUAAUUAAAAGUCUUUCAUCAAAUGGUUCUCUCUCAUUCUAGAAAUAACCAUGUUCAAACAAAUUUAAUUUUUUUAAUUCAACUAUUUUAUUUAUAUUCAUUUCAAAAUAGUGUGAGUACAAUAUUUAAUGUUUGAUAAUUUUAUUUUCUAUCGAAAAACAAACUUUAAUCGCUAAAGUUGAUGACCUUUCUAUAUGAUAGACAUUUUAUUCUUGUUGAUCUUUUUGGAUGAUCGGCCUUUUAAACAUUGAUUGAUCAACUUGGAUCAACAUUUGACUUGUUGAUUAACUUGAAUCGAUUUUUAACUCGUUAAUUAGUUCAUAUGAUUUUUAAUUUGGUUUGUUGAUUGACUAAGAUUAACUUUGACUUUAUUAGGUUGGAUUGGCCUAUGGCUUGUCGAUCGACUUGAAUCUACUUCUAGCUCUCGUUGAUUAGCUUGGGUUGGUUUUUGGCAUGUUGAUCACUUGGG
This 2679-nucleotide long non-coding RNA is filed under the name Cucumis sativus (cucumber). RNAcentral describes it as "long non-coding RNA (CSAT_LNC000055)". Lineage: Eukaryota; Viridiplantae; Streptophyta; Magnoliopsida; Cucurbitales; Cucurbitaceae. The record is from RNAcentral.